Molecule: long non-coding RNA, 908 nt
Organism: Aplysia californica (California sea hare)
Lineage: Eukaryota; Metazoa; Mollusca; Gastropoda; Aplysiida; Aplysiidae
Exons: 3
Source: RefSeq, a predicted model, not a curated record
AUAUAGUCGACGCAUCGCGGUAAAAGUGCCGUGCAACGUCGUGUCGAAGAGGUGUGAGUGAGUGCGAUUCUUGCACAGUUCACUAUGGAUGUUUUGUUGUGGUAGUAAGCGAGUGAGUCGAUGUAGCAAAAAGUAGCGACACAAUUCUUUUCUCGUUUGAAGGAUUGGAGGGUGCUGUGUUUAUUUGUGGGGCUGCUUGGUGCCGGAUUACUGUGUAAGUGGUACAUUUAUAAACAAGCAUCCUCGCGUCAAGUUAACUGUGUGAGGUUGAUGUGUUCUCAGCUCGCGUGUGUUCGUAAAGUAGAUAUCUAGAUCUAGGGCACAGCGACACAUGUUUUAACGUCGUAACAAUUGUGUACGAUACCGUGUGUAAGAGAGGAGAAGGGUAGGAAGGAAUCCCGUCUCCCCCACUCUGGCCUUCCGAAGCUCUUUAAUUUUAAACAUUUUGCCACGAGAUUCAGCAUUACUGUGUUGUUGAUGUUCAGUGGUGUGUGAAGUGGUGUGCUAUGAGCGCUGGUGGCUCAGUUUCGAGUCAUGAUCUCGGGUGUUGAAUCGAGUUCCAACAGCCAACAGGAGCCACUGUUUCAGCUUGUGUUACAUUUGUGUUCGUUUAUAUGUGACUAGAGACGUUUAAUUCACAAGGAGAACAUCUUUUUUGAUGUGGUCAUUUUUGUGUGGAUUAUAUAACAUCGUUUUGAUUUGCUGGAAUUCCGCUGUCCCCUAUCAGGAGUCAGUCUUGCACAUGUGUUACUCUUGACGGACUGCAUUCUUCCCCCCCUUUGUGCUCAGCGCGUUGAUGAACGAAGCCUACCUCGUCAUAUACUAUCCCAGGUCAGAGAGUGCACAGAUAGACCACGUUAGUGCGCACAGUGCGUAACCUUUGGCCUCGUUCGCACGACCUUUUCGUG